ACACCUCAACUCUCAUGGUUUGCCAUGAUGAGCUUGGACUUUGGGGGUCUUGCUGGCCUAUGGUCAGCUCCUCUCAAAUGAAUCAGCUUGCCAGUGUUUGGUGGCAUCACGGGUGUGAUAACUAUCUACGCCUGUUGCUUUCCAUCAGAUAACCUUCAGUGAUGAAGGUUCGCUGGGGCUCAUAAAUGUCUCUCCUCAGUGGAGAUGGCCCUUUUGAAU
RNAcentral lists this unclassified non-coding RNA (219 nucleotides) under uncultured Tomentella. RNAcentral's name for it is "sequence contains ITS2". The record is from RNAcentral. Lineage: Eukaryota; Fungi; Basidiomycota; Agaricomycetes; Thelephorales; Thelephoraceae.